This 467-nucleotide ribosomal RNA is filed under the name uncultured bacterium. RNAcentral's name for it is "bacterial SSU rRNA". It matches the Rfam family "Bacterial small subunit ribosomal RNA", at positions 917 to 1382 of the family's 1533-position model. The record is from RNAcentral.
GGGCCCGCACAAGCGGAGGAACAUGUGGUUUAAUUCGAUGAUACGCGAGGGACCUUACCCGGGCUCAAACGGUGGCGGGAUUUCCGUGAAAGCGGGGAGCCGGCAACGGCCGCCACCGAGGUGCUGCAUGGUUGUCGUCAGCUCGUGCCGUGAGGUGUCGGCUUAAGUGCCAUAACGAGCGCAACCCCCAUCUUCAGUUGCUAACGGGUAGAGCCGAGGACUCUGGAGAGACUGCCGGCGCAAGCUGCGAGGAAGGCGGGGAUGACGUCAAAUCAGCACGGCCCUUACGUCCGGGGCGACACACGUGUUACAAUGGCGGGGGACAGAAGGAAGCGAGGCGGCGACGCCGAGCGGACCCGAGAAAACCCGUCUCAGUUCGGAUUGGAGUCUGCAACCCGACUCCAUGAAGCUGGAUUCGCUAGUAAUCGCGCAUCAGCCAUGGCGCGGUGAAUACGUUCCCGGGCCUU